RNAcentral lists this non-coding RNA (85 nucleotides) under bovine gut metagenome. RNAcentral describes it as "TPP riboswitch (THI element)". The stretch from base 4 to 76 matches the Rfam family "TPP riboswitch aptamer (THI element)", at positions 10 to 89 of the family's 105-position model. Rfam says of the family: Vitamin B(1) in its active form thiamin pyrophosphate (TPP) is an essential coenzyme that is synthesised by coupling of pyrimidine and thiazole moieties in bacteria. The record is from RNAcentral.
CAUCAGGGGUGCUGAGAGGCUGAGACAGGCAAUGCCUGAACCCUAAACCUGAUACGGAUAAUACCGGCGUAGGGAGCAUGUACAU